CAGAUUUCAGCUGGUUAAUGAUCACUCUUCAGGAAAUCUCUCUCUGCUCAUAUCACACCUGACUGUAGAGGAUAAAGGAGAUUACACGUGUAGAGUUAAAGGUGGUGAUUACAGAGAUUUCAGACUUACUGUUAAAGAGGCCACAAAAAGACCUUUACCACCGCCACGAGAGAUCAAAACAAUUUCUAAACAAGAAACCACAACUACAAAACCAACUUUGGUGGGCGAUGAUAAAACACAUCCACACUCUGAAACAUUUGGAAGAGAGUCUCUCCCCUUCGUCCCCUUCGCUGUGGUAACUGCAAUCUUUCUGCACAUCAUUGUAGCUGUGGUCUAUUGCAGCACCAGAAAGAAAGGUCCUGAUAGAGUUUAUUACAGCAGAAAUAAUGGAGAUGAAACGGUGAGUUUGCAGUAGAGAAGAACAUCAACAGAACAUAUGAAUGUUUAACUGCAGCAACAAUCCUACACACCUGAUGAUUCGGCAUCGAUCAGCAUUUCUUCUUUUAAUAUGGAUUAAAACAUUAGCACAAUUUGUGAAUAGAUUGAUUUUCAGCCCUGAGUUUUCGCUCGUCUUCGUCCUUUAGUGGAAUAAUAUACUGUAGCUUUUUUUUAACCAUUCAAUUAUUCAGAGUCUGGAUUAGACAGGUGUUUUCAUUUAUUUUUACAAAAUCCUGUAACACUCUCAAUCCUGUAUUCAAAAUUAGACCUGGUAUAUUUUGAGUAAGAAUAUUUUAUUUUCUUUGUUUUAAAAUGGCAAAAAAAAAAAAAAAAACAGCUUAUGUUACUGAGAAAUAAAUAAGUGUAAACUCUUCUGUCUAAAGACUAUUCUUUAUGAUCCUUUCAUAAA
Long non-coding RNA from Clarias gariepinus (North African catfish), 847 nucleotides. RefSeq lists it as uncharacterized. The record is from RefSeq and is a predicted model, not a curated record. Lineage: Eukaryota; Metazoa; Chordata; Actinopteri; Siluriformes; Clariidae. The transcript has 5 exons.